GACGAACGCUGGCGGCGUGCUUAACACAUGCAAGUCGAACGGAAAGGCCCUGCUUGCAGGGUGCUCGAGUGGCGAACGGGUGAGUAACACGUGGGUGAUCUGCCCCUUACUUUGGGAUAAGCCUGGGAAACUGGGUCUAAUACUGGAUAGGACCAUGCUGUAGGUGGUGUGGUGGAAAGAUUUUUUCGGUAAGGGAUGAGCUCGCGGCCUAUCAGCUUGUUGGUGGGGUAAUGGCCUACCAAGGCGUCGACGGGUAGCCGGCCUGAGAGGGUGGACGGCCACAUUGGGACUGAGAUACGGCCCAGACUCCUACGGGAGGCAGCAGUAGGGAAUAUUGCACAAUGGGCGCAAGCCUGAUGCAGCGACGCCGCGUGGGGGAUGACGGCCUUCGGGUUGUAAACUCCUUUCAGCCAUGACGAAGCCUCUUUUGGGGUGACGGUAGUGGUAGAAGAAGCACCGGCUAACUACGUG
This 471-nucleotide ribosomal RNA is filed under the name uncultured bacterium. RNAcentral's name for it is "partial 16S ribosomal RNA". It matches the Rfam family "Bacterial small subunit ribosomal RNA", at positions 28 to 507 of the family's 1533-position model. The record is from RNAcentral.